Long non-coding RNA from Gambusia affinis (western mosquitofish), 728 nucleotides. RefSeq lists it as uncharacterized. The record is from RefSeq and is a predicted model, not a curated record. NCBI's taxonomy places the organism in Eukaryota, Metazoa, Chordata, Actinopteri, Cyprinodontiformes, Poeciliidae. The transcript is spliced from 3 exons.
AAGAGAAAAACCUAAAACAUGCAGAGCAGGGGGCCUGAGAAGAUAUAAAGGAAAAAUUAAUUUCUGAAUUACAUCUCCGUCCUGUUGAUGGUGGUAAUACACAAAGUCUGUAAACUGCCAGAAAACUCUAUAGAAUUAGAAGAAAGGGGCCUGAGGACCAGAACUGAGAAGCUCUGCAUUAGGGUGAGUUUUAUGAGUUACAGUGACUAUGACGCCUAAGAUUUUUGGAUUUGAGAAAGUUUUAUUGUUGCUUCAGCCAUGAGGACAAGAACGUCUGUGCAUACUUUUGCAGAGCCACGAGGAUUACCGAUAAGUGUUAUAUAGCACCCUCUCUACGUGAUGCUGCUAUAAAUUCAACAGAGAUGAGAGGAGAUGUCAAUUGACGCGUCUCUGGUGAUAAACGGCCAAAACGCCUGUCGACCCAGCCGUACACCACUGAAGAGCAAGUUCUGAAAUUCUCUUCAGCUUAGAUACGACUGAACACAGAGUCUGCUAGACACACAAACAAGCAGGGAAUAAAAACGUGACGUCACUCCUGGAAAUUAGCUACCGGAAACUCAAAACCCACAUGUAGCUUCAGACAGGGACAGUUCUGGUCAUCAAAGAGCCAGACCCAAUGAGUAAGGAGGCUCGUCAGUCAGCAGCAUUGGGCUGAACCCGCCGCAAAGAAGCCCAAACCUCCACCAAAACCGCCGCAGAACCCCAAGGAAGUGUUUCCAUGCAAGAAA